AACUUACUGUGCCAUUUUAUCAUUGGAAAAAAAUAAUACAAUGCUAUUCCCUGAUAGAAGUUCAGAAGAAUUUUUUUAAAUAAUUUUUAUUUUUAUGAGUUAAGGUGGGUUUUGGUUUGGAGGAAGAGUAUUUGGAAGUUAAUUUGGGGAACUGAGAUUUAGCUUUUUAAACCAUUUAUGGUAACAUGUUAUUAAAUGAGUGAUUCAUGUUUGAGGAUAAACACACAUCUGAGUAUGGUCUACUUUUCCAUUUAUUUGGAAUCACUCUUGUGUAGUUUUCAUGUAACAUUUUUUCCAAAGAGUUGAUCUGGAGUGUGAGAUUAUCUUCAGCAAGUAACUAGUGUUUCCACAUCUGAAUUUGCUAGGGACAGAAGCCACAGUGUAAGUGUUAAGUUGAGAGAAGGAGGUUAAAGGUGCUCACGGUAGAGUUUACCAGUGCCUUUUUGUAGCUGCAAGCAAACUAUGUGAAAAACCUGACCAAAAGAUCUGAGCUACUUCUCCCGAAGACAUGCCUUAAAGCCAGAAAUUAUAACUAGAACUGAGAACACUUGAAAAUGAGCGGUGGGGUUUAUUUAUGAAGAUUUAUUAGCAUUUACUGCUGACUUGUAAAGAUUUCAACACUAGUUGUCUAAUAAUAGCACUUUUUAAUGGAAUUGGCGGAAAACAGCAUGUCAGCAAAUACAGCCUUCCUAUCCCUUCUUGAUUAUUUAAAUAAUGAAUGACCUCGCCUCAGGGUGGAGAGCCCCAGGGAGGAGAGACCAAAGGAAAACCUAGUUUUUCUUCAGUUCCACUUCUGCUAAUGAACAAUACCUUUCUCCCAGGGCCAGUCUGAUUGAGAAUUGAGAAUCUGAUUGAGAAAACUAAUACUGAGGAAUAAGUUUUAAAUUCUGGUAUCCCAGUUUACUCUUCAUGAAAACAACAGUUGGCUAUCAACCUGCGAUGUGAUUUUGGUUAGACUACAUUGUUACCAGAAUGAUUACUUAUGUUUUCAAGUGAGAUGUUAAUUUAGCCUGUCAAAUAGUAUAUGCCCAUUGUGAUACAAAUGAGAGCUCUUCUCUCAUUCCAUUUUUGUACUUUAUCUCAUGCUGUCUUGUUUACUGUGUGUAGCUUUCUUUUCUGUUGGAAUGUGGCUUCCUAAAUUUCCCGGGAAACUCCUGAGGCUCUUCUCCCUGUCCUUUUACUCCCGCAAGUCAGGUUGUUGAGACUUGGCCAGUGCCGGCUCAGAGGAGGACUGUUUGAUCCAGGGCCUCCCAGCUGCCCGCAGCUUGGGGAGCAUAUCCCAUGCAUCAUAGUUAGCCUCACUUUCACUGUUUUUACUCCACUUCUACUACCCGAAAUGUUGCAAAAAUCUUUCUAAUUCUAUUGUUUCGUUUUUUCUUUGUAAUUCUUGCCCUUAUCUUUAGGGAGAAAAUGAUCUGCUUUCUUUCCAUUU
Molecule: long non-coding RNA, 1432 nt
Organism: Sapajus apella (tufted capuchin)
Lineage: Eukaryota; Metazoa; Chordata; Mammalia; Primates; Cebidae
Exons: 2
Source: RefSeq, a predicted model, not a curated record